UACACUCCUACGGGAGGCAGCAGUGGGGAAUUUUGGACAAUGGGCGAAAGCCUGAUCCAGCAAUGCCGCGUGAGUGAAGAAGGCCUUCGGGUUGUAAAGCUCUUUUGUCAGGGAAGAAACGGUGAAAGCUAAUAUCUUUUGCUAAUGACGGUACCUGAAGAAUAAGCACCGGCUAACUACGUGCCAGCAGCCGCGGUAAUACGUAGGGUGCAAGCGUUAAUCGGAAUUACUGGGCGUAAAGCGUGCGCAGGCGGUUUUGUAAGUCUGAUGUGAAAUCCCCGGGCUCAACCUGGGAAUUGCAUUGGAGACUGCAAGGCUAGAAUCUGGCAGAGGGGGGUAGAAUUCCACGUGUAGCAGUGAAAUGCGUAGAUAUGUGGAGGAACACCGAUGGCGAAGGCAGCCCCCUGGGUCAAGAUUGACGCUCAUGCACGAAAGCGUGGGGAGCAAACAGGAUUAGAUACCCUGGUAGUCCCAUGA
This 477-nucleotide ribosomal RNA is filed under the name uncultured organism. RNAcentral's name for it is "partial 16S ribosomal RNA". It matches the Rfam family "Bacterial small subunit ribosomal RNA", at positions 332 to 800 of the family's 1533-position model. The record is from RNAcentral.